RNAcentral lists this ribosomal RNA (330 nucleotides) under uncultured bacterium. Its description in RNAcentral is "bacterial SSU rRNA". It matches the Rfam family "Bacterial small subunit ribosomal RNA", at positions 568 to 898 of the family's 1533-position model. The record is from RNAcentral.
UGUGUAGGCGGUUGUUUAAGUUUGGUGUGAAAUCUCCCGGCUCAACUGGGAGGGUGCGCCGAAUACUGAAUGACUCGAGUGCGGGAGAGGAAAGUGGAAUUCCUGGUGUAGCGGUGAAAUGCGUAGAUACCAGGAGGAACACCGGUGGUGUAGACGGCUUUCUGGACCGUAACUGACGCUGAGACACGAAAGCGUGGGUAGCAAACAGGAUUAGAUACCCUGGUAGUCCACGCCCUAAACGAUGCACAUUUGGUGUGGGUCAUUCAGUUGAUCCGUGCCGGAGCUAACGCGUUAAAUGUGCCGCCUGGGGAGUACAGUCGCAAGGCUGAA